RNAcentral lists this ribosomal RNA (539 nucleotides) under uncultured bacterium. Its description in RNAcentral is "partial 16S ribosomal RNA". It matches the Rfam family "Bacterial small subunit ribosomal RNA", at positions 355 to 885 of the family's 1533-position model. The record is from RNAcentral.
UGGGGAAUUUUGGACAAUGGGCGAAAGCCUGAUCCAGCAAUGCCGCGUGUGUGAAGAAGGCCUUCGGGUUGUAAAGCACUUUUGUCCGGAAAGAAAUCCUUGGCUCUAAUACAGUCGGGGGAUGACGGUACCGGAAGAAUAAGCACCGGCUAACUACGUGCCAGCAGCCGCGGUAAUACGUAGGGUGCAAGCGUUAAUCGGAAUUACUGGGCGUAAAGCGUGCGCAGGCGGUUUGCUAAGACCGAUGUGAAAUCCCCGGGCUCAACCUGGGAACUGCAUUGGUGACUGGCAGGCUAGAGUAUGGCAGAGGGGGGUAGAAUUCCACGUGUAGCAGUGGAAUGCGUAGAGAUGUGGAGGAAUACCGAUGGCGAAGGCAGCCCCCUGGGCCAAUACUGACGCUCAUGCACGAAAGCGUGGGGAGCAAAACAGGAUUAGAUACCCUGGUAGUCCACGCCCUAAAACGAUGUCAACUAGUUGUUGGGGAUUCAUUUCCUUAGUAACGUAGCUAACGCGUGAAGUUGACCGCCUGGGGAGUACGG